CGGAGGGUGCAAGCGUUGCUCGGAAUUAUUGGGCGUAAAGGGUAGGUAGGUGGUCUCAUUUGUCUGGGGUGAAAGCCUUGAGCUUAACUCAAGAAGUGCCCCAGAAACGGUGAGACUGGAGUCCUGGAGAGGGUCGUGGAAUUCCCGGUGUAGCGGUGAAAUGCGUAGAGAUCGGGAGGAACACCAGAGGCGAAGGCGGCGACCUGGACAGGUACUGACACUCAACUACGAAAGCGUGGGGAGCAAACAGGAUUAGAUACCCUGGUAGUCCACGCUGUAAACGAUGGGUACUAGGUUUGGUGGGUCUUGACCCCCGCCGAACCGGCGCUAACGCACUAAGUACCCCGCCUGGGAAGUACGGUCGCAAGACUA
RNAcentral lists this ribosomal RNA (372 nucleotides) under uncultured organism. Its description in RNAcentral is "bacterial SSU rRNA". It matches the Rfam family "Bacterial small subunit ribosomal RNA", at positions 526 to 896 of the family's 1533-position model. The record is from RNAcentral.